UCAAUAAUUUUAAAGCAAAUACGUAAUAAAUAUGAAAUUACAUAAUAACAUUACGGAAGUAAUUUUUGUCACGUUCUUGUUAUUUAUUUUUACAUCAGCCGUCGAAUAUUCUGAAAUAAAUGAAGGUUACGCACAAGGUUUUAUUCCAAGAUGUCCUAAUUUAUCAAAACCCGCCGAAAUAAAACCAAAACAUUUGGACAAUUUGAAAAUCGAAGUACUGAGUAAUGGUUCCCUAUUGGAAGCCAAAUGGACCUCGUACAACUAUCACAAUGUAAAAGCUUUGGCUAUGAAUUCUGAUGUAGACUUCAGGCAGAAAACCGUUGUAUAUGCUCCUGGGUAUUUCGAACCAACUGCAUUGCCACUUGGAAGGAACAUGAUGGUGAUCUAUAAGAAAUUGGGAUAUAACGUGCUUCUGUUAGAAUAUGUGACGUUCACUACAAAUAUAUACCCCGUAGUCGUCCGCUUGUCACGUUCUAUUGGCAAUCAUGUAGGUGAAAUGCUAGCCGAACUAUCAACAGUCGGUCUAGACCCAGAAAAACUUGAACUAGUUGGCCUUAGCCUUGGUGGAGUCAUAAUGCCUUUCAUAGCUAGAAGAUUUCGUCAGAUCACAGGAAGAAAUAUAUCGUCAAUCACAGCUCUUGAUCCUUCAGGGCCUUGCGUUAGACAUCUUGGACCAGACCAAAGACUGGACAUCUCAGAUGCCGAUCUUGUUUUGCACAUAGCUACUAAUACUGGAGGAUAUGGCAUGACCACUCCGGUAGGACAUGUGACGGUUUAUGUCAAUGGAGGGGAGUACCAACCAGGUUUCCUUACGUCUUUUCUUUGCGACGAUUUAUGCAGUCACUGGCGAUCAUUGUUAAUAUGGAUGUCGGCGUUAGAACAUCCUGGCUCAUUCAUAGCGAUGCAGUGUGAUUCUGUGCAGCAAGCGAAAGACCAUCUUUGUUUUAAUAGAAAACCAAGGGUAACAAACACUCUAGAUCUGUACACGGAUAGACGUAAACCAGGCAUUUAUUACUUGGCAACGAGUCAUAAUUAUCCAUAUUAUUUGGGUACAAAAGGUUUGAAAAGAAGCGGUGCAGAAGUUUUAAACCAAAUAAGUGAGCUUAAUGCGGUUGAUGUACUGAGAGUUUAGUCAAAUUAUGUAUAAAUUGUCUUAAGAGAUUGAAAACAGUGAUUGUGUAAAUUAAUAAUAUAAAUAUCUAUUUACCAAUUUAAAUAUAAAUUAAUUGAAGGCAACAGAUUUAUGUAAUUGGCGGCUAAGCAAGUAAGCAUACGUACUUAAGCGGAAAUGAGUUACGGAAUUUAUACUUCUAUUGUAUACUGUCAAAAGUUACACAGAUUAAAUUAAUUAUUACUUAGCUUAACUACUAUAAGGUAUAUUACAUAUAAAAUGGAAUAAAAGUGACAAUAAUUAAUAUGGCAUUCAUUGCAGAAAUACUAAUUCCAAAAUGUUAAUUCAAAACCUUUUAGGGGUAUACUCGUCGACCUUAAAUAGCAAUUCUAUUUUUAGUUGUGACAUUUUUUAUUGCGCAUAAAACAGACAGUUUUACAUAAUUUGUAUUCAAAAACAUACAAAUCUAUCAAUCAAAAGGAUACGUUCAAGGAAAUCCACAGGUAAAUAAAUGACUAUUGUAGCUUCUUUUUUCCUCAUUUUAGAUAAAAACAACAAGAUACUCGUACACAAUAAUAAUAAUUUCAUAAACUCAAGUAAUAAAUAGAUUUUCUCAAGAAACAUGAUUUUGUAACCAAAUGGGUUUCCUUCGUAAUAUUCGUGAAUUUACUUGUAUUGUACUUUUGGUGCUAAAGUUCACAGGGGCGGUUGAAUAUUCUGAAAAAAAUGAGGGAUAUGCUCAAGGAUUUCUUCCGAUCUGUCCAGGAUAUUCAAAACCAGCCGAAAUCAAACCGGAACAUUUACAUAAAAUAAAGAUCUCAGUACUAAGCAGAGGUUCGCUUCUACAAGCAAACUGGACGUCUUUCAACUAUCAUAACGUCAAAGCUCUCGCCAGAGACCCAAACGUCGACUUCAGAAAAAAGACCAUUGUCUAUUGCCCAGGUUAUUUGGAUUCGACUGCCAUACCUUUAGGAAGAAGCAUGAUGGUGCUCUAUAAGAAGCUGGGGUAUAAUGUGUUGAUUUUAGAAUUCAUAGACUUCACUACAGAUGUAUUGCCUGUAGUUGUCCGUUUAAUGCGGCCUGUUGGAAAGCACGUCGCCGAGAUGCUAGCCAAACUAACGACGGUCGGCCUCGACCCAAAAAAUCUAGAACUGGUCGGCCUCAGUCUUGGCGGAAUUUCCAUGGCUUACACUGCCAAGAACUUCAAAAACUGACUGGUAGAAGAAUUUCAAAGCUGACCGCUCUGGAUCCUACAGGACCCUGCGUCAGACAUCAUGGACCAGAUGAUAGGUUGGACCCUUCUGACGCUGACUUCGUGCUGCAUAUCGGAACGAAUAUCGGAGGAUAUGGUAUAACUACUCCAAUCGGACAUAUAUCGGUCUACGUCAACGGAGGGGAGUACCAGCAAGGUAUAUUCCCAACGUUUCUGUGCGACAAUCUCUGCAGCCACGUACAAGUUUUGUUCAUAUGGGUCUCGGCAUUGGAAAGUCCGGGCAAGUUCCUCAUGAUGCAAUGUGAUUCUUUGCAGCAAGCGAGAGACCACAACUGUUUUGAGAGGAAGCCAAUGGUGACCAACUCUCUGGAUCUUUAUACGGAUAAGAGUAAGCCCGGUAUAUAUUACUUGGCGACGAGUCCACGAUACCCUUAUUAUUUGGGUAGAAAAGGCUUGAAACGGAGCGGUGCUGAGAUUUUGAAUAAUAUAAAAAACCUUAAUGCUGUUGAUGUGCUACGAGUUUAAUGAGUGAUGUUAAUAACUUAUUUUAAAACAAAUAAAAAUAUAUUUUUAAAUAGUAAUAUUUAAAGUUGCCGAAAUAAAAUUCUAUUCUAGAAAAUUUAGCUACAUGUAUUUUGUUGAGAUUACCAAAUGUGUAUGAUUUUGAUCAAAUGAAUGUAUACCUUAAUAUAUUCUAUUCCUAGGCGCGGCUUUUUGUCAAUCAAAAAUCGAGC
Molecule: RNA transcript, 3058 nt
Organism: Leguminivora glycinivorella
Lineage: Eukaryota; Metazoa; Arthropoda; Insecta; Lepidoptera; Tortricidae
Exons: 5
Source: RefSeq, a predicted model, not a curated record